GUCGAACGAGGCCCUUCGGGGUUUAGUGGCGCACGGGUGCGUAACGCGUGGGAAUCUGCCCUUUGGUUCGGAAUAACAGCUGGAAACGGCUGCUAAUACCGGAUGAUGACGAAAGUCCAAAGAUUUAUCGCCAGAGGAUGAGCCCGCGUUGGAUUAGGUAGUUGGUGGGGUAAAGGCCUACCAAGCCGACGAUCCAUAGCUGGUCUGAGAGGAUGAUCAGCCACACUGGGACUGAGACACGGCCCAGACUCCUACGGGAGGCAGCAGUGGGGAAUAUUGGACAAUGGGCGAAAGCCUGAUCCAGCAAUGCCGCGUGAGUGAUGAAGGCCCUAGGGUUGUAAAGCUCUUUUACCCGGGAAGAUAAUGACUGUACCGGGAGAAUAAGCCCCGGCUAACUCCGUGCCAGCAGCCGCGGUAAUACGGAGGGGGCUAGCGUUGUUCGGAAUUACUGGGCGUAAAGCGCACGUAGGCGGCUUUGUAAGUCAGAGGUGAAAGCCUGGAGCUCAACUCCAGAACUGCCUUUGAGACUGCAUCGCUUGAAUCCAGGAGAGGUCAGUGGAAUUCCGAGUGUAGAGGUGAAAUUCCGUAGAUAUUCGGAAGAACACCAGUGGCAAGGCGGCUGACUGGACUGGUAUUGACGCUGAGUGCAAGCUUG
Molecule: ribosomal RNA, 655 nt
Filed under: Sphingomonas parapaucimobilis
Lineage: Bacteria; Pseudomonadati; Pseudomonadota; Alphaproteobacteria; Sphingomonadales; Sphingomonadaceae
Description: bacterial SSU rRNA
Rfam family: Bacterial small subunit ribosomal RNA
Source: RNAcentral